GCUUUUCAGAACCUUGGUGAGGUAUCACCUAACUAUGAGUUCACCUUUAUUCUACUUUAUCUUCUCUUAAUGAACCUGUGUUCAAGUGUGUAAUGUACACCUAUUUCUUUUAGUUUGUAGCUGCAGAAGGUGAUACUUUUGAAACAGGGACAAAAAUAGCAAUCAUUUUGAAGUCAGGUGAAGGUGUAAGCCAUGUAGCUCCAUCGUCGACCAACGCUGAGCCAGCUCCUUCAGAAAAGAAGGCAGACAAGCAAGAGCAUACCACAGAAACUCCUGUUCUUAAGGAGGCACCCAAGGAGAAGCCUAAGGCACCUCCACUACCUCCAUCUAGACCUCGGCCACAGAACCUCAACUUCCUCCAAAGGAAAGGGAAAGAAGAGUUCCAAUGACAAGACUCAAGAACGUUUAAAAGACUCUCAGAAUACUUUUGCGUUGCUGACUACUUUCAAUGAAGUUGAUAUAUGCAACCCUUUUGAGUACGUGAUGAUAUCUUCACAUAUCGAUAUUGGAGCUUAUUAUUGAUAUCAAAAUAUGCUAUAAUAUAUAUAUAUAUAUUUUUGUAUUGU
Camellia sinensis is the source of this 566-nucleotide non-coding RNA. The record is from RefSeq and is a predicted model, not a curated record. Lineage: Eukaryota; Viridiplantae; Streptophyta; Magnoliopsida; Ericales; Theaceae.